GGAUUCGUUUACAAACUCACAUAUAAUUUGUCUUUCUCAAACUGAUUUUUGGGGAAAUUUAACACAUAACAUUGAGAUUGGUACUAGUGUACAAACAAACACGCCUUGUUACUUCCUAAUAACACAAAUAUUUGUAGAUAAAAUUACGUACAAUAAAUCUUAGUGAUUCAGUCCUAUCUCGAAUCCGUGAAAUGUACUGAAAUUUCCUUAGUAACUCAAACUUUUUCCCAAAUGACCUCCCAUUUUUCUUCACAAUAAUAACCCCUCUUCAUUUGAUCAUUGCUACUACCAAAAUACCUAAAAUUAUGACUAUUAUCUCCAUCUUGUUUAUCACAAAUGACAUAGUCAUAGAACACAACCCCACUAAUAAUUAUGGCUACAAUAUGAAUAGGAAGACCAGCCCAAAAUCCAAAAAAUGGAUAAAAUUGAUAAACAAACCCAAAAAUAAUGGAAGAAUACAAGAACCAUAUAGCAAAUCCCAACAAGCUCUUCUCAAAAGACUUAUUUUUCGAUUGAAUGUUUCGAUAUGUAGAUGAUAAGUUAUUUGCCAAGUAAGCACUAAAAUAUAUGAAAAAGAUGAAAGCUAAGAACGAAUAUUGACUGUUAGAAUAUGCUCGAUAUAUUGUAGCAAUAAAAUUGAAUAUGAUCAAUAAGGUUUGAACACAUUGUAAUGUGAAUGAUGUAGAGUUUGUCAUGGAUAUAGUUGGAGUUCUUCUUUUACAACUAGUUUGUGUAUACAUUAAGUGGGGUUUUAU
This 755-nucleotide unclassified non-coding RNA is filed under the name Hevea brasiliensis (rubber tree). The record is from RNAcentral. Lineage: Eukaryota; Viridiplantae; Streptophyta; Magnoliopsida; Malpighiales; Euphorbiaceae.